RNAcentral lists this unclassified non-coding RNA (253 nucleotides) under uncultured Alphaproteobacteria bacterium. Its description in RNAcentral is "contains 16S-23S intergenic spacer region". It matches the Rfam family "Bacterial small subunit ribosomal RNA", at positions 524 to 776 of the family's 1533-position model. Lineage: Bacteria; Pseudomonadati; Pseudomonadota; Alphaproteobacteria. The record is from RNAcentral.
UACGAAUGGGGCGAGCGUUGUUCGGAAUCACUGGGCUUAAAGCGUGCGCAGGCGGCCAUCCAAGUCAGAAGUGAAAGCCCCGGGCUCAACCCGGGAAUUGCUUUUGAAACUGGACGGCUAGAGUCCCGGAGAGGUUAGGGGAAUUCCCAGUGUAGAGGUGAAAUUCGUAGAUAUUGGGAGGAACACCAGUGGCGUAGGCGCCUAACUGGACGGGAACUGACGCUCAGGCACGAAAGCGUGGGGAGCAAACAGG